AAUAGAUACCCGGGUAGUCCACGCCGUAAACGUUGGAUACUAGGUGUGGCGGUUAUACCAAUGACUGCCGUGCCGAAGCUAACGCAUUAAGUAUCCCGCCUGGGGAGUACGGCCGCAAGGCUAAAACUCAAAGGAAUCGACGGGUCCCCGCACAAGCGGCGGAGCAUGCGGCUUAAUUCGAUGCAACCCGAAGAACCUUACCUGGGUUUGACAUCACGGGAAAAGCUGUAGAAAUACAGUGUCCAUUAGGGCCCGUGACAGGUGGUGCAUGGCUGUCGUCAGCUCGUGUCGUGAGAUGUUGGGUUAAGUCCCGCAACGAGCGCAACCCUUGUCCUAUGUUGCCAGCGGUUCGGCCGGGGACUCAUAGGAGACUGCCGGGGAUAACUCGGAGGAAGGUGAGGACGACGUCAAGUCAUCAUGCCCCUUAUAUCCAGGGCUGCACGCAUGCUACAAUGGCCGGUACAACGGGCAGCGACCCCGCGAGGGUGAGCGAAUCCUAAAAAGCCGGUCCUAGUUCGGAUUGAAGUCUGCAACUCGACUUCA
This 543-nucleotide ribosomal RNA is filed under the name uncultured bacterium. RNAcentral's name for it is "bacterial SSU rRNA". It matches the Rfam family "Bacterial small subunit ribosomal RNA", at positions 777 to 1320 of the family's 1533-position model. The record is from RNAcentral.